RNAcentral lists this signal recognition particle RNA (297 nucleotides) under Carlito syrichta (Philippine tarsier). RNAcentral describes it as "Metazoan signal recognition particle RNA (ENSTSYG00000028792.1)". It matches the Rfam family "Metazoan signal recognition particle RNA". From Rfam's summary of the family: The signal recognition particle (SRP) is a universally conserved ribonucleoprotein. It is involved in the co-translational targeting of proteins to membranes. The eukaryotic SRP consists of a 300-nucleotide 7S RNA and six proteins: SRPs 72, 68, 54, 19, 14, and 9. The record is from RNAcentral. Lineage: Eukaryota; Metazoa; Chordata; Mammalia; Primates; Tarsiidae.
GCCAGGCAUGGUGGUUUGUGCCUGUAGUCUCAGCUACUCAGGAGGCCGAGGCAGGAGCAUGCCUGGAGCUCAGGAAUUCUGGGCUGUAGUGUGCUAUGCUGAUCAGGUGUCUGCUGCCAGUUCAGCAGCAGUAUGGGGACACUUGGGGAGCAAGAGAACACCAGGUUCCCUAAGGAGAGGUGAACUGGCCCAGGCCAGAAACAGAACGAGUCAAAACUCAAGUGCUGGAGUAGUGGAAUUGCACCUGUGAAUAGACACUGCGCUCCAGCCUGGGCAACAUAGCAAGACUCCAUCUGU